Molecule: non-coding RNA, 167 nt
Filed under: Clostridium disporicum
Lineage: Bacteria; Bacillati; Bacillota; Clostridia; Eubacteriales; Clostridiaceae
Description: T-box sequence
Rfam family: T-box leader
About the family: Uncharged tRNA acts as the effector for transcription antitermination of genes in the T-box leader family. T-boxes are found upstream of many aminoacyl-tRNA synthetase genes and some amino acid biosynthetic genes usually in Gram-positive bacteria.
Source: RNAcentral
AUAAACGCUGUGAAAAAGAGGAGUAGUUUUAAUAUUUCUUUAAGAGAGAUGAUGGUUGGUGUAAAUCAUUAGGAAUGUAAAAUGAAUGGAGCUUUGGAGUGUAUUAUUUUAAAGAUGGGCUUAAGCCAAGAAGGGUGGAACCGCGGAAUAGUUAUUUCGUCCCUUUG